AGGCCCUCUGAUCCUAGAGAUAGGACGUCCCCUUCGGGGGCAGAGUGACAGGUGGUGCAUGGUUGUCGUCAGCUCGUGUCGUGAGAUGUUGGGUUAAGUCCCGCAACGAGCGCAACCCUUGAUCUUAGUUGCCAGCAUUCAGUUGGGCACUCUAAGGUGACUGCCGGUGACAAACCGGAGGAAGGUGGGGAUGACGUCAAAUCAUCAUGCCCCUUAUGACCUGGGCUACACACGUGCUACAAUGGACAGAACAAAGGGCAGCGAAACCGCGAGGUUAAGCCAAUCCCACAAAUCUGUUCUCAGUUCGGAUCGCAGUCUGCAACUCGACUGCGUGAAGCUGGAAUCGCUAGUAAUCGCGGAUCAGCAUGCCGCGGUGAAUACGUUCCCGGGCCUUGUACACACCGCCCGUCACACCACGAGAGUUUGUAACACCCGAAGUCGGUGAGGUAACCUUUUAGGAGCCAGCCGCCGAAGGUGGGACAGAUGAUUGGGGUGAAGUCGUAACAAGGUAGCCGUAUUGUAGGCCAAUUAUGGC
RNAcentral lists this ribosomal RNA (535 nucleotides) under bacterium Ag-t8. RNAcentral describes it as "bacterial SSU rRNA". It matches the Rfam family "Bacterial small subunit ribosomal RNA", at positions 984 to 1518 of the family's 1533-position model. The record is from RNAcentral.